This 464-nucleotide ribosomal RNA is filed under the name uncultured bacterium. RNAcentral's name for it is "partial 16S ribosomal RNA". It matches the Rfam family "Bacterial small subunit ribosomal RNA", at positions 338 to 795 of the family's 1533-position model. The record is from RNAcentral.
CCUACGGGAGGCAGCAGUGGGGAAUCUUCCGCAAUGGGCGAAAGCCUGACGGAGCAACGCCGCGUGAUCGAAUGAAGGCCUUCGGGUUGUAAAGCUCUGUUGUCAGGGACGAAUAAGCAAUGCAAAUAGUUUUAUGUAUGACGGUACCUGUCUAGAAAGCUCCGGCUAACUACGUGCCAGCAGCCGCGGUAAUCCGUAGGGCGCAAGCGUUGUCCGGAAUUAUUGGGCGUAAAGGGCGCGUAGGUGGGCGCUUAAGUCAGGUGUGAAAGCUCGGGGCUCAACCUGGGGACUGCACUUGAAACUGGGUGUCUUGAGGGCAGGAGAGGGAAGUGGAAUUCCUAGUGUAGCGGUGAAAUGCGUAGAUAUUAGGAGGAACACCAGUGGCGAAGGCGACUUUCUGGACUGUACCUGACGCUGAGGCACGAAAGCGUGGGUAGCGAACGGGAUUAGAUACCCGGGUAGUC